RNAcentral lists this long non-coding RNA (34457 nucleotides) under Capsicum annuum. Its description in RNAcentral is "long non-coding RNA (CANN_LNC012857)". Lineage: Eukaryota; Viridiplantae; Streptophyta; Magnoliopsida; Solanales; Solanaceae. The record is from RNAcentral.
UAAUUUAUUAAAAUAUAAUUUUCUUAUUUCUUUACUUUCUUCUAUACUAUAUGCUCCUUUGUAAUAAUAUUCUUUAAAUGCGCAAGUAUAUUCAUCUAUAUAACACAUAUUACAUAUUGCUAAUUUUAACAUUAAAUUUCUAUUUGUAUCUUUUUCUUCAUUUUGUUCUUCUUCGAUUGUUGUCGUACUACCAAAUUCAUCUUUUAUAGCUGUUUCAUAUUUUUUUAAUAAUUCUAUAGGUGUUAGUUUAGUUGUUGUCGAUGAUGUUCCUUCUAUAGGUUUAUUAGUUCUUAAUACUUUUUUGCUAUUUUCGGUUAGAUUUGCAAACCAUAGUUUUACUGAUCCUAUUAGUGUUUUUUCUAUAUAUUCCGGUGCAUCUGUUAUAUUUAUAUUAUUAUCUAAUAAUUGUUUUGUCAUAUAUCCUAUCCAUAAUUGUAUUGUUUUUUCUGUAUCUAUUACACAGUCUAGAUCUAAAAAGUUAUAAUUUUUAUUCACUAUUUGUUUUGGUAUCCAUUUAUCAUAUUCAUUAUAUUUUUUAAACUUAUUCUUAUAAUAUAUAGGUUUUCUUAUUUCUGUUGUUUUAGGUAUUAUAUUUUCAUUUUCUUUUUUAUCAAGAGUAUUUAUUUCUGUGUGGGUAUUUUCUAAGUUUUCCUCAUAAAUUUUUUGUUCUUCAUUGAUUUCUAAAUUUUUUGUAUUUGUUAAUAUUUCUGUGUAUGUUUCACUAUCUUCGGACUCAUAAUUAUCUGUCUCUUCAAUAUCUAUAUUAUUUAUUUCUAAUUCUUCAUUUUUUAUUUCUAAUUUUUCCUUAAAUUGAUUUAUCUCAUUUAGUAAUUUCUGUUCUCUAUCUUUUUCUUCUUUUUCUUUUUGUCUUUGUUCAUACAGUUCUUUUAACAUUUGUAAUUCUUUUUCUAAUUCAGCAAUUCUACUAUUUUUGGUUUCUUCUAUUUUUCGUAUUUCUUCCGUAGUUUGUUGUUUUAUUUUUUCUAUUUCUUUUUUCCUAUCUAUCUCUUCAUUUUCUUUUUCUAUUCUUACCAUUGCUGUUAAUUUAUCUUCUAAUUUUAAUUCUUCUUUUUCUAACAUUAGAUAUAAAUGUUCACCUAUUUUCUUAUAUCUUCGUCCUAGAUUAGAAAAUACUAUUUUUAUUUUUGAUCCUUCGUAGUUUUCAUAUAUUUUUUCAUCUAUUAUAAAUUCUUCUUUAUUCAUUUUAUUGUGAAUAGGUCAUGUUGAUAUACAUAUUCUAAACUAUCUAUUUGUGAUUCUAAUUUUGAUAUUUCAUCUUUUUGUGUAUUUAUUGAAUUUUCACUGACUCCAGCAAAUAUAUUAUAAUGUAAUCUUUCUAUUCUUAUUUUUAAUUUUUACGUUUUUCAGAAAUAAUUUGUUUUAAUUCUUUGUAUUUCUGCACUUUAUUCAUUUAAACCAUGUUUAUAAUAUCUUAGUGGAUAUCUAAAUCUAAUUUUAUCAUAAUUAGGUGGUAUGUGUUUCAUUCUUCUAGAUUUUAAAUGGAUUAUUAAUUUUGCUUCAAUACCAAAUAUUAAGGUAAUUAGGUAGACUAAUCUUUGUGGGUUUUCUAUUGUUUUAUUUAGACUUGUAUAUUCUGAAUAAUUACUAAUUAAAAAAUCUUUAAUUUUUCUAAAAGUUUCUCUAUUUUUAAAUGGUCUUCUCAUAAUUAAUGCAAUAAACAUAGAUAAAUUCUAACAUGUCUAACAUAUAUCUAAUAUUAAGGUAAUUAGGUAGACUAAUCUUUGUGGGUUUUCUAUUGUUUUAUUUAGACUUGUAUAUUCUGAAUAAUUACUAAUUAAAAAAUCUUUAAUUUUUCUAAAAGUUUCUCUAUUUUUAAAUGGUCUUCUCAUAAUUAAUGCAAUAAACAUAGAUAAAUUCUAACAUGUCUAACAUAUAUCUCUAACAUAUCUAACAUAUAUCUCACAUACAGACAAUAGUUAAAAUUGACAUAGCGUGUAAAUUUUAGUAGAAAGAUCACAAUAAAUUUAAGACGCUAUGGAAAUCACUCUUUCAGUUAUUCACGAGACCAAAUUAGGCUCGCACUGAAUCAUUAAAAAAAAUCAACAAACAAUUAUAACAGUCCUAAAACAAAAUAAAAACUACUAUGCCCAUAUUUAUAGACCCACGUAUUCACACACAAAUAAUUUUUCAGAAAAACAUAUUAUAUCUUAGGAAUAAUUACAGAAAGUAGCAUACUUAAAGACUAUAAUUACACUAAAUAGCAACACUUUUGUAAAAUUACAGUUUAUAGCAAGAGUAACAUUAUUUUACUCAUUAAUUAGGUAAGUCCAUAUUUUACUCUCACCACUUUACAUUUUCUUAUUUUCACUCCACCAUUUCACCUCCCCAAAAUAUAGCUAUAUCUUUUAUCCUUUUUUUUCAUCUUAUUUUUUUUAUUAUUUAUUUUUUUAUUUACUCUCUUCUAUUUCUCUUUUUUUUUUUUUUUUUUUUUUUUUUUUUUUUUUUUUUUUUUUAAUUUUUUUUUAACGUUUUUUUUUUUUUUCAUAUUUGAAGACAAUUAUCUCCAUGAUCUUCAAGAUUUCAAAAUAAAAUAUGUCUUUCACUCUCUUAUCUCUAUACCUUUUUUCUUGUUACUUUUUUUUCAUCUUAUUUUUUUUUAUCAUUUUAUUUUUUUAUUUUUAUUUUUUAUUUUUUAUUUUUUCUUUCCACGUUGUUUUCUCUCUUCUAUUUCUCUUUUUUUUCCUUUUUCGUUUUCGUUUUUUCCUUUCUCAUAUUUUUUUUCUAUUUUUUUCUAUUUUAUUUUGUUUUUUUUUCUUUUAUUUUUACACUUCUAUUUCUCUUUCUUCUUUUUUUUUUUUCUUUUUCACUUCUCUUUUUUUUCAUUUUUUUAUUUUUCUUUUUGUUUUCUUUCCAUUUUUUUUACUCUUCUCUCUCUAACUUUUAUUUUUAAAAAGACAAAUAUGUAUAUCACAUACACAUGUUCAAAAAACAUACAAAAUAUAUAGACAUACAGAUCUGGAUAUGUAUUUACAGUACAAAACAUACAUAUGUAUUUACGAAAUACAUAUGAUAUUAAUAUUAGAUAGUAACAAACAUAACUAUACUAUAUAUCUUCAUAUGUAUUUGCGAAAUACAAAGGUGACUCAUAUAAAAUAAGAAUACACAUAUGAAUCAGGUAUGUAUUAUGUAAAUACAUAUGCAGAGCUACAUGUAUUUUAUACACUGUUCUUAUUUAUUUUCUUUUACUGUUUUAAGAUAUGUAUAUGUAUUUUUUUACUACCUAUAUGUAUAUGUAUAUAAUUUUUAUUUUUGUUAUAGAGAUUUUGGGUCCUAUAUGUUUAUAUAUACAUGUGAGUCAGAUAUGUAUUUCUGUAAAUACAUAUGCAGAUUUGUAUGUCUAUUUAUUUUGUAUAUAUUUUUUAAUAUGUAUAUAUGAUAUAUAAAAGUAAAAGACAGAGAUAGAAGAGUAAAAAAAAUAUAGAAAAAACAAAAACGAAAAAAAUAAAAAUCCAAAAAAAAAGAAGUGAAAAAGGAAAAAAAGAAAAAAGAGAAAUAGAAAUUAGAAAUAGCACAAAAUAAAAAAAAAAAAGAAAACAAAAAAAAAUAUAAGAAAAGGAAAAAAAUGAAAAAAGAAAAAAUAAAUAAAAAAUGAAAAAGGAAAAAAAAAGAGAAGUAGAAGAGAGACAAUAAAGUGGAAAGAAAAAGUGAUAAAGUAAAAAAUUAAAAUAAUAAAAAAAUGAAAAAACUAACAAUAAAAAAUAAUUAGAGAUAUAAGAGGAUGAUAUUUUGAAAUUUUGAAGAUCAUGGAAAUAAUAAUCUUUAUAUUUGAGUUUGAUUUGAAAAAGCAAUCUACUAAUUUAAAUAAGAGUAAUUUGUGGGAAUUUAAUUAGAUGAGAUAAUUAUUCCUUAUUUAACUCAACUAAUUUGAGUAAAAGAAGGAAAGUAAAUCUUAUUGUAUAUGUAUUUGUAUAACAACAGUUUACUUAAAUACAAAUUAUAAUUUGCUAUUUUUCAUAAUUAUGAAACUGUUGCUAUAAAAGUUACAAUUAAGACUCUAUAAUUGUUAUUUAUGAAAAUUUCCAUAUAUUUUAUCCACAAAGGUGAUGAAAAACCAACAGCCAAAUUUUAGAAUAGAAUAAAAAACACACAUUUAUAAACCAAACAAGAUGAAGAAAAGAUGAACAAAGGAAUUAAAGGGGCAGAUUCACACAUAUCAGAACACUUAAGACAAAACCAUAUUCCUAAAUUCAAUUCCAGGAUAAUGAAUAUCAACACCAUAAAUAGACCUAAAAUAAAUUAAAUUACCCAUUCACGACAUUCAAAAAGUGGCCGACAAAAAAAUGUGAAGGCCACAUAAAAGAUGGGUGUUUAUCUUGUGUUGUGCAACAAGCCUAGGACUUCAAUGUCAAGAUUCUGGACACGAAUUCCAGUUACUCCUAAAAUUCAAACUCAAACCCAAGUGAGAUCAAUAAAAGAGAAAGAAAGGUGAGUAAUGGACUUUGUAACUCUUGCUUGUAAGAAUGUACACUCAUUUUUCAAUCUUUCCUCCUAAAAAUUAUUUCAAAUGAAGAAAAUCAUGGGUAUUUAUUGGAAAAUCCGAAUUUCAACAUCCUGAUUUGAAAUCAAGAUUCCAUAGAAACCAACGACUGGAUAUAGAUGAUGAAUUUAAAUUCAAAAAAAUUGAAAGAGAUGACUCCUCUCUCAAUUUAGUCGAAUCUCAGACCUUUAAUGCAAAUUUCAAAUUGAUUUUAGGACCUUGCAUCGAUUUGGUUACUGGUCCUCUGCUUUCAUUGAGAUUUACAGGUUAGGGAUGACUAAAAAUAGGGGGAAUCUCUACAGAGUGCCGCAGGUGGUGACGAUAUGGAUAGGAUUUCUCAUUUGGUGAUAGUGAAGGAGAGGAAGAAGGUGAGAAGAAGAAGGGUCCUUAGUUGUUGUGUUUUUUGGGGAAAUUAAAAGGAAGAGGUCGAUGGGGGUUCUGGAAAAGGUGAAACAUUUCUCUGACUUUGGGGAAAGAGGAGUCAUGCAAUUGGGGUGGGGGGUGUGGUNNNNNNNNNNNNNNNNNNNNNNNNNNNNNNNNNNNNNNNNNNNNNNNNNNNNNNNNNNNNNNNNNNNNNNNNNNNNNNNNNNNNNNNNNNNNNNNNNNNNNNNNNNNNAUUUAUUUAUAAAGCUGAACAACUUAUGGCUCUUAGAUUAAAAUGAUUUUAACGGUCAAGAUGAGUUUGUAUUUGUAAGCUAGGUGACAUGGAGAUAUGUGAUUGGUUAGGAAUAUGUGCCAAGGAUUGAUAACUAGGAUGUGGGUUUGGAUGAGAAAGAGUUUGAUGGACCGGGUUUGAGUCAAAAAUUGGGCCUCUUGGUCCGAAUUUGAUAAGUGACACUUGGAACUGAAUUAUUUCUUGCCCAAAUACUCUUUUUCUCACUAAAAAGUAAUUUUAUCCAUACUUAUUAUUGCCCUAAAAUUAUUUUAACAUAUAUACGUACAAAAAUUCUAUGAAUAAUUUUUGUAUGCACAUAGAAAUAAUUUGAUAAUUAAUUAUAUAUUUUAAAAUAUUUUAAAACAUAGUAGGAAAAAUAAAAUAAAUCUUUUUAUUUUUAUCCUUUCAAAAUUCAUAUAAAUUAAAAUACAAAUUUAUUUAAAAGAAUUAUUUAGGACCAAGAAGUAUAGAAAAGUAAUUAAAUAAAAAAAAGAUGAGCCAAAAUUGAGUGUCAACACCUAGUAUCAUGGUGGACACGCGCAAGUCAUCAAUUGGUAGCAGGUCCUAAAGCUUAACACCUAGGAGAGAUCCUGCUAAAAUGGUUGCUCCACCAAAUCUCAAAGAAGGUCAGUCAACUACUACAAGAUUUCAAAAGGAGUUUAGAAGAAAUGGUGGAUUUUCAAGAAAAAAGAACAUGAGAAAGCACCUAAAUGAAAAUGACUGUUGUUAUAAGUGUGGGAAGCUUGGUCAUUUGUCCAAAGACUGCCUACUCCAUAAGCUUAACUACAAGGACUACAUCAAGAACAAUCCACGAAAAACAAGGAAGAAGGACCUGGUCCUUGAUGAAUUCAAAAGAAGUAUAAGAGAAGUAACAGAGAGUUCUAUAAUGGUGAUAGAAGACAAGUCCUGAGGCUUUGACUCUUUAUUUUCUAUCAAGGACAAGUCGGAUGACGAAGAUGAAGAUGAUGAAGAGGAAAGUAUUUUGAAUAUUUAAGAAAAUCUUUAAAAUUAUUCUUUAAAAGAGCUAAGGUCCUUAGCUAGUGUGUUGAUUGAUGAAUUUUAUGAUCUUACUAAAGAAAAAGAGUCUCUGAAUAAUGAUCUUAUUGAAUUUGAUAAUGAAAAACCAGUCUUGUUUGUCCAAAUCUCUGAAUUAGGAGAAAAAGUUACUCUUUUAUUCUCUGAGAAUAUCACCUUAAAUGAGAAAUUGAAGGUUGUACCUUAAACUGAUCCUAAAGGGAAGGGAAAGGGUAGUGAUCUUCAAUUUGAACUUGAAUCCAAGUUAAAUAAGUCUAAAUUGAAUCUGACAGCCUCCCUAGAGAGAAACAAAGAACUAGAGAGAAACCUGAUUUGAAUCAAAACUGACCUUGAAAAAUUACUCUAUUGGACAGCUUUUUCACAGACCCUUGCUCAACUUGGAAAAAUAAGGUCAAACACUGAAAUCUCCUCUAAGAAGAAGUGUCAAAAUUAUGUUGAGACAUAAAGGUACUCAAGGGGAACUGUUCCCUCAUCCAAAAAAAUAAUUCAUGCCCUAAUAGAUUAUAUGUUGUUGAAAAGUAUAUGAAGCAUGUUAAUACAGAAGAGAACUUAAGAGAACCUGGUCCUAAGUCUAAAAAGAUUAGGUUACCAACUUGUACAAAAAAGAGUUUGAUAUUUCCUCUGUCUUUUUUUUGGAACUUAAGUUAAAAUGGGUUCCUAAACCCAUCAAAUGACCUUUUGUGGAGGGAAGAGUGAGAGAAAGUAGCCAAUAAAUGUUCAUCAAUAAUGGAUAUAAGAAGCACACAAAUUGAUUAAUGAUAUAUUUUCUCUCACUCAAGGUAUAUCAAAGGGGAAGUGUUUCCCUUGAAAAAAAUAAAAGGCAUAUUUUCUUACAUUGGAAAGAUUGAAAAUAUUGGCUUGUGAUAAUGAAAAAUGUGUACUAUGUAAAUGGAUUGAAGUACAGUUGCUCAAAUGUGUCUUAGAUAUGUGCCAAAGGAAAUGAAGUACUUUUGAUGAUGAUACUGAUUUGAGGCUCAAGAACGUAGGACAUACCAACUCCUCUUUCCUAUUGAAGUUGAUCUCAAAGGACCUGAUCCUUGACGUUACCUAAGUUGAAGUUUGCAGACAACUAGACUUUUGGAUCUUAUGAGAAGUGAAAGAAAACCAGGUUCCACAUCAAACAAAUAAACAUUAUUGGUAUCCUUAACCAACCAGACACUGAAUCUACAAUAAUGGGGCACAUGUUGUUUGAGGUGAGUGCACUUUGGCUUUGUAUAACUCAGUCUCAUACUCAGUGUGUAACUAUGUUGGAUACUUGGUAGAUAAAGAGAAUAGACUAAUGGCUCAUUUUCUUGAAUCUUCUAGAAUUUCAUAAGGACCAGGUACCCAUAGUGUUAGAAAUGUACUAAGCAGGGAACAAAUUGGAAAGAAUCAUCUCCUUCAUCUUAAUCUCCCUGCAGUGGCUAUGAUCAAACUACAGUAUCUAGUUAAGAGUUUAUUGACUAUGUCUAACACAACUCUAUACCAUUAUAGGCAUGCACAUAUGGAAAGAUGAGAGGAAUUAAGAGGUGGAGAUUAUUUAAGGCAUCUCAAAUUAUGCACAUAAAAGUUUAGAAUAGGGACCAGGUUUCCCUUCACAGGUUACUAUCACUAACUGCAAUCAUAAAAGCUUCGAACUGUCAUGAAAUUCCAUAUAGAUUUAGUUUUUCUGUUUGACUCUUAUGUAAUAUUGUCAUGUCAUUUGAAACUCUAUUGCCAUAUCCUUUUCUUGACAUGACAAGUUGAUUAUUCUCCUUUUAAGGCAUAAUUCAAACUAUUCAUUCAUUUUACCACACCUUCAAAAUGACAACUGAAAAUUCCUUGAAACCCUUGGUCUAAUAGUUCCUUUUGAACUCUUUAUUUGAAUGCCACUUUUCUCACUAAACUACUUUCUAAGAUCUUUGGACCCUCCUUAGACUUAUCCAUUAUUUUUUCUCAAGUAAAGGUUCUAAUGAAAGGAUCAGGUAACCCAACAAAAUUCAAUAGAGGUUAGUAAGAAUGUAUAGAAAAGUGAGGAAGUAAAUAUCACGUAGAAAAUUACACACAGUCAUAGACCUAGUCCCUAUACUGUGUCCAAACAAAAAGAAGGAAAGGGGUUAAAAUCUGAUAUUAAUGUUCAGAGCCCUGAGUAAUAGUUAUUUGAGGAAAGUUUUCCCAAAAAUAUUGCUUUGUGAUAGAGUGUUUGAUCCUAGGAUGGAUGAAUUGGAUGCAAGUUUUUCUGAGUUCCAUAAGGGGACUAGGGGCCUUGAUGGAUCCUCAUCAAGAAUUAGCUUAUCAAAAGGUGAAGUAUCUCAGUUGUGAAUCAAAGUUGGAGACCUGGUCUUGAAAAUCAACUCUUAUCCUAUUUUCUAUCCCAAUGUUUAUUCGUUUCAUCCAUCUUUUCUUUUGCCUAAGCUUUAUUUCUGACCCUAUAUGGUAAAAUGAAAGCUCUCUUUUAUGUAUGCUUUUAAUGGUAUUAACAAAACAUUUUUCAUAUCUUGUUGUUGGUUCUAUCUCUAGUUCUUCUCUAUUAUUUUUGCUUAUGUUAGUGUUGCCCCAGUGGCCAUGUGUUAACAUAUGUUGAUUCUUACUUUUAAUUGGUUUACUGUUUGCUUUAUUUAGUGAUGCCAAAAUGAGGAAGAUCUUGUAGAAAGGAUAAACAAUGGCGAUGGACAAAAUUGAUGAAGGGACCUGAUUCCUAAGAGAACUGAGUGCUUGUGUCAGGACCUAGUACCUAAGAGAUGAGUGUUGGUGUCAUAGGGAACAGAGACCUGAUACCUAAGAGAAAUAAGUUCUGGUGUUAGAAGGAAUAGGGACCUGGUACAAUGAGUGUUGUGUUAGAGGGAACAUAGACCUGGUACCUAAGAGAAAUGAGUAUUGGUGUUAGGGGGAACAAGGACUUGGUACUUAAAAGAAAUGAGUAUCGGUGUCAGGUUGAACAUAAAUGAGUAUUGAUGUUAGGGUAAACAUAUCCACUGCUGGCUUAAUUUUGUCAUCAUAAAAAAGUGGGAAGUACUAUAUUUGUGGUUUUGAUGAUUGGCAAACUUAUUACUAAUUCUGAUGACUAGCAAGCUCAUAAAGGGACUAGAAAAAAAUUAAAAUGUUGUUAUUUGGAGAUAAUAGUGAUAAGGGAAACUAAUAAGAGAGAUGUUGGUGAUAGGGGGAACUGAUAAGAGACUUAAUACUCCUAGAAGGAAAGAGAAACUAAAAAAGAGAUAAAUGAUGUUAAAAAACUCUCUGAACUACUGCUAUAUUGGUUAUAGGGUUGUUAUCAUCAAAAAGGGGGAAACUGACAAUCAUGUGGUUUGAUGGUUGACAAAACUCGUGCGAGAACCUGGUCCUCAGAGGGAUCCUAUUUUGUAGGGAACAUGUUCAUAUUAUAGAUGUACUCAUAACCUUGUUAAGUAGUAACUUCUUAAGGGGAUGUUUCCUAGUUCCAAUAUAUGUAGUGAUACAUGACAUGGAAACACUAAAUGACGCAUGAGACAUUUGUUCUUAUUAAUUGACAAACCUGCCCAGGGACCAGAUUAGGGACAAGGUUCUCUAAUUGUCAAACUUUUACAGUCAACAUAAUAGUUGAUAGUUGUACCUUUUUAAAGAAAAGUUGGUGGUACAGCAGAAGAGGGGCAACAUCUUUAAUCUCGACCACUGAGAAAUAUUCUUGGUUUUUCCUUCCAUUUGCUUCAUAUAUAUAUAUAUAUAUAUAUUUGCACAAUCAAACUUUCUCAUUUUCUUGCAAAGCCAUCACAAAGUUCCAUGAAGAAAAAGUUCUAACAACCAAAGGACCAAUUUGCUACAAUGGAAUAUGUAUUUAGGUCUAGGUUGUUGAGUCUUUUUAUUUUUCUCUAACAUUGUAAACCUACUUCUCUUUUGAGAAGCUUGUGUAGGUAUUUUAUUUUCUCUCUUCUCCUGAAGAUUUGAGUUGUGGGCUCAAGUUAGCCAUUGUAUUGUUACAGGCUAGAUUUAAUCGUGGUUGUAAAAUUGUGGUCUAAAUUUAGCCUUGGUUGUCUUUACAAUAGAGUUAUUGUAGAGAGUAAUUACAAUAGAGUUCUUGUAAAGGUGAAGGAUUAAGAGUUUAAUUCCGAGGUUGCAAGAGGUUGUAAUCUAAAAGUUGCUAUUGUUUUAGUGAAGUGGUUGAGAAAUCCUAUUGGGGUAGGUUGUGUUUUUACUCUUUUAAGCAAGAAGGUUUCCACGUAAAAAAUCUUCUUUUCUUUGCUUUUGUUCUUGAUCGUUGAACCUGGCGAGGGACCAGGUUCGCGUUAGUGUGGUGAACUCAUAUAGAACCUUUUAUAUUAUUACCUGAAGAAACUGAUAAUAGAACUGAUCUCUCGUAACGUGGUAGACACACGCAAGUCAUCAAAUCUUUCCUAAUAUUGUUGUUAAGACAUAUAGGUAGAAAAUUACAUUUCCAAUUCCACCCCACUCAAAUAAUUAUGAUGCAGCAAAUAACAAAGCAAAUGCAAAUACUAUUUCACAUUCUUGGAAAUGCGGAGAACUAUUGGUGUCUUUCAUUUUGUGUCCUGCUUUCAUCACCUUUAAGGUUGUCUAAUGGGAGAAAAAUCUACAACUAAAAUAAGACUUCCAACAUUAAGGAAUUUAACUAGUAUCAUCAAUUUCAAGAACUACCUAAAACUGGAGUAAAAAACUGUAACCUAACAACAUACGCAUGUCAAUGACAACAUAUACUAUAGUUUGUCCAUCAAUUACCAUUACAGUGUAAAUUAAAAUAAUGAGAAGGCACAGGCAAAAAAUGGAGCUGUGAAACUAGCCUGAGAACUAAAAAGAUCUCAGAAGGACCAAAGGAAAAAUGGAAAGCCUAUUUUGUUGUAACCAAAAAAUUCUUCAGGCUAGCCAGGGUGCACUAUUCUGAACUCGGUGAAUACACCUUAUACCCAAAUUAGGUCUCAGAGUGCGGGAAAAUUCGAAUAUGUAAUUGGCGCUUCUCUUUGCGUUAGACUAUUAUUAUUUUAUGUAUGUGGGACAAUUAAUGCAAAGCCUAUAAGUAAUUAUAAUAUGCAUUUAAUGAAAAAUAAAUUUUGUCCAUUCGACCAUUUUGUUGAUGGGCGUGUUAGAUUUAGUCACAACCUCCACAUUUUCUUGACACAUCUCAUUGACAGCUGCAGUAACGUGCAGUUAUGGCAAGGAAACAUAAACCAAUUUUUGACUAACAUUUUUGCUUUUUGAUAAUAUCUUCCACAUCAUGUAUGCUUUCUAUUAUUAUUUUUAUAAUUUUGUUGUGUUGAAGAUCCUGAAAUGCGUUAAGUUCACAUGUGAUAUCUGAAUGUUAUAGAUUAAUCUUUCCAUAAGAAAAACUAUUUUGUGUUGAAUAUUAUAUAUUCAUCACACUGAUGGUGUUACUGUAUUGUUUUCAAAAUUGCUCUUAUAAUGAUGUAAACUGCAUAUAAUUUUUUUUAUCAGUAAACUUCAAAAAGGUGAGGAUGUACUAAUUUCUUUUGUUUCCUAAGUAAUAUAACUGCAUAAGUUCAAUCUUGAAUAUUUGUAUGAUCAUCUAGCAACUAGCUGUGCAAACAUACAUAGGAGUGAUGUGUUCACCUAUUUUAGUGCCUUCACUUCUUUUGCAUAUCUCAGAUGAUGAUGCUUCUCCCUGCUAACUUUCAUUUUGAGAGUUCUAUGUUGAUUAUCUUAAUUUGACGCAGUCCCCAUUAGCACACUUUUUUAUUUCUCAAGGUUUUUCCUCUCCAUCUUUAAAUUUGGCUUCUUGCUAAGAAAUUUCUGCCUCACAAUAAGAGAUCUCAGCUAUCCAAGCUACUUAACGCUCAAAAACCUCACUUCAACUCCUCAAUAUAACUCCACAUCUCACUCUCUUUCAUUAUCCUAUCUUUUAUAUCAGCAUCUAAUGCUUCUUUCAAUUCUUGUAUGAAUUUAUCAACAACUGCUUCAAUUCUCUGUGAAAUCAAACAAACACACUUAUUGACUCUCAGUCAAAAAAUAAAAUAAUUUUGAUUGUUCCUUAUUUCUAUUGCCGAGAGAUCCUUUUUAGACAAUACUACUAAUCAUCGGUUACUAUUGCCAGGAAAGGAGAUUCAAAGAAGGAAGAGAACUUUGAUUUGACUUAUUUGUGUUCAGUUGGACCAAUUAAUGAAGGAAAGCAUAUGUGAGAAUUGAAGAGAUCAAGUUUAUGCCUUUAGUUUCCUUUUCUUUUUGUUACUUCCUUCCAAGUACUACAUAUAAUAUAAUUUAAUUAAUAGCUAAUGAUCCACAAUGCAGUAUAUUAUUUUUAUCUUUCCAUCAAUUUCCAAUCAUUAAAGUUGUUGUCGGUUUUAAUAUUAUCAAGGAAAAUAAUGUAGCAAGUAGAGCCAAGAACUUAGCGGCUGAAAAUAGAGAUUGAGUUAGAGAAGAAGAGACGCAUUGAAUUUUUUUAGAGAAGAAGAGACACAUUGAAUUUUUUUUUGCUAAAGCAAUGUAUUUUAUUGAUUAUCAACUCCUAACUUAAAUUGCCUCUAAUACAGCUAAAAAUAGGUUAAACUUAUCACAAAAAUAACCAAUUUGCUAUCAAAAAUAAUAAAAAUUAGUUUCCUACCAAAAAUAGCAAUCUCAAUUUGACUAGAAGUUGUAUGUAUAAAAAAUAGUGGAGAAAAAAGAAAAAACAGUCUGCAUUCUUAAAGCAACUUUCAACACUACUCCUUGCUUUAUAAAAUGCAAACACCAAUUCUUUGCCUUAGAAGCUUGAACUUGCUGACUGGAAGUGGCUUAGUAAAUAGGUCUGCUAGCUGGUUUUCAGACUUGCAGUAGAUUGGAGUUACUUCUCCCUAUUGCUGCACUUCUCUCAAGAAAUAACACUUGAUGUUGAAAUGUUUGGUCCUUUUAUGAAACAUCAGAUUGUUUAAGACUGCAAUAACUGCCUGGUUGUUGGCUAGAAUCUCAGUGUUGUCUUUCUAUUCCAUAUGUAAAUCACACAUGAUCUUUCUAAGCCAUAAGGCUUGGUUUACAACUAUAAUACCCUGUGUUUUGAAGUCACUAUACAAUAUAUGACUUAUGCCUUUGAGUCGUAUGGACCUCGUAUGAGUCGUAUGUUCAACUCGUACCCAUGACAGUGUGUGAUGGGUGAUAUUAUAUUUAGGGUAAGAAUUAAACCUUGGAAGUCGUAAGGUGAUCAUACAAGUUGUACAUGGUAAGUCAUAACCAAGUCAGUGUGAGGUUAGAUGAGUUCUGUCUAGCUUACGAGAGAAUGAGUGCUAGUCGUAUGACUUGUUACGAAUCGUAAAUUAUGACUCAUAUCUUAAUAAGUGAAGUAUCCAAGAAUCAAGGCUCAUGUUUUGAAAUCUUUAUAAGUUAAUUAGACAUAUAUUAAGUCCUCAAAUAGCUCCUAACUCAUGAACAAGACGAAACAUCCCUUAGCGAUUAAGUUCUUAUGAAGAAUAUAACUAUAGUCAUAUUUAAAUGUUCAUAACUUAUAUUAUACUAAGAAUUUCUGAUCUCAAGCCCCCCAGUAGAUAGAUAAUUGAACUAUAUUUCUAACAUUACUAAUUUUUAUUUAAUCUAAUAUUGGGGUGAAAAGUUAUGACCAAAUUACUGAAGCACUAUUAAAGUUGCCAGUAGGGUACGACUCCGGAUAACGACCCGUACCCUUAACGUACGAGUCGUCAGGAGGAGUCGUACCCACAAUAGUAGGAGUCAAAUUUUGGGUUCCUAGUGAUGACUCAAGGUAUGACCCGUACCUAGAAUAUAUAAUUCAUACCCAAACACAUCGAGAUGCCUUCCAAAUGAUUUCCAGAAGGUUUCUAAGUUUUUUUUGGUCUUUUCUCCCUUUAUAACUCCCAAACCCAUGACAUUUAACUCUAAGGGGCGUUAUAUUUCCUCUCUUUUUUAUCAAUUAAAUAACAUAAAAUCCCUAUUUCCAUUCUCAAUAACAAGAUUAGGGUUUCUUCUCAAGAUCAUCUCCCAAGUCUCAAAGGUCAAGUUUACUUCACAAAGCCAAGAACUUUAAGGUAUGUGGAGUAUUUAUCAAUAGGUUCCUUCCACCAAUUGAGCCUAAAAACCCUCUUGUAGUUUUAAAAUUAGAAUUUUAUUCUAUUUUGUGGAGUUAGCCUUACAAUUUAUGAAUUAAAUCCUUGAAAUUCUUAAUAAAUCAAAUUCAAGUCAUGUCAAUAUGUGUUCCCAUGUUAUUCAAGUCACUUCAUAUUUGAAUUUCAGUUUUCAUUGUUUUAAUCCCUUAAUUUCGUGAUAAAUCCUCAAGUUAUGAAUUAAACCAUGUAAAUAUGUUGUUUUUCCCAUGUUUAACAUAACCUCAUCUUCAAAUUCAUGUAUUCUAACAGUUAUUGAAAUUUACUAUAUUUUGGGUCUCUGAAUUAUGACUUCCUCCUAUUGUUUAAAUGUUUUUAUUAUAUUUUUGUAAUCAUUUAGUGCUGGAGGGUUUUGAACACCCGAUACCUACUGUUUUACAUAAUUUUCGUUUCAAAGAAAUAAGUCAGACCAUCAUUUUUAUUAAAACAUUCAGAAUAUCAUAUUCAUGCUGAGCAUUUACAAGCACCAUAUACAGUUAUGUUAAACAACUAAUAAUACCAAAGUUUUUUAGUUGGGAGUAACACUUAGCACCGAGUGAAUACAGGAAUGACGGGUCCCCCAUCAGUAGAGGCAUAAGUCAUUAGUGGCAGUCCCUAAGUUCCAGACCUACGACGCUACUAUAUAUUAUGAAGGGUCCCCAAUCAGUAGAGGCAUGAAACCCUCGUUCUUUGGGACAUCAAGCUUGAGGAUCCACAUCAUUAUUUAUGUGUUAGUACCCCUUGUAAAGUACCAUCACCCUUCCAACUGGAUUUACAGGUUGGACCUCAAUAGCUUAAAUUGAGGCAUGUUGGUUGUAGUUAUCUGCCAUAGUCUUAGUGUAGUAUUUAGAAUAGAUCAUCUCAGGCUUGGAUGACCAAGUAUACAAACUUAGGUUAUUCAGUUAUGUCAUAAUAGUGAUUCAGUCACUCAAAUUUACAGUUUAUUUCAGUACAUAUUUAUGCUUGGUCUUGUAUUCUCAGUGUUAUAUGGUCAUGCAUUCAAUUUCAGUUGCCAUAUGUUUUUCAAUUAGUCCUUACCUUAUGUACUAGUACAUUAAAAGUAGUGACUGUAUACUCUUCUCUUGCACUAUGUUGUCUUAUAACAUAGGUUCAGACGCAUAGUUUCUCGACCGUUCUUAGAUAGUCUAGCAUCACCCGACAGUAGUAGUGGUGAGUCCUCUUCCAUCGAGGACAUGAUAUGUUUUAUCCUUAUUUCAGCAUCUAUUUAUAUUUCAUCAGUCGGAGUUAGUUGGGGGUCCAUCCCAUCAACUCCUUAUGAUUCUUAGAGGCUUUCAAAUGGUUAGACGGUCUUUUAGUUUUUAGUUAUUAUCAAUUGUUUCAGACAGAAAAUCUAGUUUUUAGUGUUUAUCAGAUAUUCCAGAUUUGUUGUUUUAUGUAUUUUAGUAUUUCAAAUUGACAGUUGCUUAUUAUUUUAUCUUCUGCACAUAUUAUAUUACUAUCAUAUUAUUCAAUUCUCACAGCAGGUACUAGAUUAUGAGUUAUCUUGGGGUUGCAUGCGACCUUAAGCACCGUGUUACAACUAGGGGGUAGCUUCGGGUUGUGUCAAAACUUAGUAUCAAAGCCAGGUUUUAAAGUGUCCUAGGGUUUCUGAAAUAUAUAUUGAGUAGAUUCUUAUGCAUGGGUGUGAAGCGCACCAUCUUAUGCAUGGGUGUGAAGUGCACCAUACUUAUCGAUAAGAGGCUAUGAGAUAUUUUUAGAAAAGUUUCCCUUCUUUCAGCAUUUAUGUCAAGCGAAAAAGCAUAAGCUCUAUUGAAUUUCUCUUUCUAACUCAUCCUUUAUUUUGUUUAUAGAUAAUUCCUCCCAGAAGAAAUAAUGGAAAAAGGAAUGGGCGUCAGCCCGCACCACCACCUGUUCAGAAAGAUCCCCUGAACGAUCAUGUUUCACAUAUUGAGUUUGGGGCUACUUUUACAGUUUUAGCCCAUUUGGUAGCUGCUCAAAACAACCAGUAGGCUGUUGUUCCAGCGAAUCUAGUGUUAAAUACAGCUGCAGCUAGGAUUUGAAACUUCACUCGAAUGAAUCCCCUUAUAUUUUUUGGAUCUAAGUUUGAGGAGGAUCUACAGGAAUUUUUGGAUAAAGUGCAAAAGGUAAUGGACAUCAUGGGUGUCACUUUGAAUAAGAUUGUAGAGUUGGUUGUAUAUCAGUUACAAGGAGUAGAUCACACCUGGUUUAAGUAGUGGAAGGAAGAUAGGGGUAUGGAAGUAGAGCCUAUAAAGUGGGAGGAGUUUUCCAUGGUUUUCCUAGAUAGUUCUUCCCACUAGAGUUGAGGGAAACUAAAGUUCAGGAGUUCAUAAAAUUAAAGCAGGGUAGUAUGAGCGUGAAGGAGUAUUCUCUUAAGUAUACUCAGUUGGUGAGGUAUGCUUCUACUAUGGUGGCCGACAAUAGGUCCAAAAUGAGUAAGUUCAUAUCUGGUAUCUAAUAGUGUGGUUAAAGAGUGUAGGAAUGCCAUAUUGAUUAAGUAGAUAGACCUAUCUAGAUUGAUGGUUCAUGCUCAGCAGAUUGAGAAAUAGAAGAUCAAAGAUAAGGAAAUAGAGAAUAAGAGGGCCAGAACAGGUAGUUUUAAAUUUUUUCAGCCAAGAUCGAAAGGCGAUAAAUGUUCUCAAUUCUGCCAAAAUUUUUUAACCCCAUCUCUAUCUUCAGCAAGUAUGCCAGUGUUUAAGUUCAGACAUGAUAGUUGGGAUAGAGUGCCAGGCUCUAAGUCCCAGGGUAGUGUAGGCAGUGGUCAUACCAAUCCGCUAUGCAGAAAGUAUGGUAAGAAUCAUUAGGGUGAGUGUAAAGUUGGUAGUGAUAGGUUUUUUGAGUGUGGAAAGUCAGGCCACAAUGUAAGGGACUACCCAGUGAGCCUGUGGAGGGGUAUAAAUGAAUGCCAGCAAGGCCUGACUAAUUCUUCAGCAGCACCAGCAGGUUACCCGACUCAAUAGGUUGCCAUAUCUAGUUCCACUAGUGGGGAACACCAGAAUAGGUUGUACACUCUCUAAACUCGACAUGCUUAAGAAAGUUCUUUGGAUGUGGUUACGGGUAUGUUACAAGUCUUCCAUCUUUAUGUUUAUGCACUGCUAGACCCCCAGAGCUUCAUUUUCCUUUAUAACUCCUUAUAUAGCUGCAGACUUCGGUAUCAGUCCUAAAAUAUUGGUAGAGCCUUUCUCAGUGUCUACCUUAAUAGGUAAGUCAAUUGUAGCCAGAUGUCACAGUGUCUCAUAAAGUUACUUCAGUUGAUCUUGUGGAGUUAGAGAUGACUGAUUUUGACAUCAUUCUUGGCAUGGAUUAGCUCGACUCAUGUUAUGCCUCAGUUGACUAUAGAAAUAAAAUUGUUCAAUUUUAGUUUCCUAAUAAACCAAUUAUGAAUGGAGGGGUAGAAAUAAAAUUGUUUUCAUAUCUUAAGGCAAGAAAGAUGAUAUCGAAAAUGUGUAUUUACCAUCUCGUCUAAGUCAAGGACUUAAAUUUUGAAAUUCUGAAUCCUGAGUCAGUUUUGAUAGUAAAUAAAUUUUCAGAUAUGUUUCCUAAAGAUCUUCCUGGAGUUUCUCCCGAAAGGGAAAUCGAUUUCAAAAUAUAUCUCCUUCUAGAUACCUAGCCUAUCUCUAUUCCACCUUAUAGAAUGGCUCCAGCUGAGCUUAAGGAAUUGAAGGAACAAUUAGAGGAUCUCUUAGAUAAGGGUUUUAUUAGCUCUAAUAUUUCUUUAUUGGGUGCUCCAUUUCUAUUCGUGCAUAAGAAAGGCGAUUCUCUCAGAAUGUACAUUGACUACCAUCAGUUGAACAAAGUCACCAUAAAGAAUAAGUAUCCACUACCCAAAAUUGAUGACUUGUUCGACCAACUUCAAGGUGCAAGUUAUUUCUCUAAGAUAGACCUUAGAUCUGAUUAUCAUCUACUUAGAGUCAGAGAAUGUGACAUUUCAAAGAUAGCAUUCAAAACUUGGUAUGGUCACUUUGAAUUCCUAGUUAUGUAUUUUGGACUAACAAAUGCCCCUACAACUUUCAUGGAAUUGAUGAAUAGGGUGUUCAAGUAGUACUUGGACAUAUUUGUCAUAGUAUUUAUUGAUAACAUCCUUAUCUAUUCCCGUAGUAAGAAUGAUCAUGAAAACCAUCUGAGAGUUGUGUUACAAACCCUUAGAGAUCAUCAGUUAUUUGCUAAGUUUAUUAAGUGCAAAUUUUUAUUGAAAUCAGUAGCCUUCCUUAGUCACACUAUUUUUGGUGAUGACAUUCGAGUUGAUCCUCAAAAAACUAAAGCAGUGAGAAACUAUCCUAGACCCAUCUCUCCGUCAGAUAUCAAGAAUUUCUUAGGUUUAGAUGGCUAUUAUAGAUGGUUUAUUGAAGGGAUUCCUUUUAUUUCUUUCUCCAUGUAAAUACUAACUCAAAAGAAAGUAAAAUUUUAGUGGUCUAAUUCCUGCAAAAAGAGUUUUCAUGAGUUAAACACUCAACUCACUUCUGCUUCAGUCUUAACUUUCCCAAAUGACACAGUUAGGUUCAUUGUGUAUUGUGAUGCUUCUAGAGUUGGCUUUGGUUGUUUAUUAAUGAAGAGAGGUAAGGUCAUAGAUGCCUCUAGACAGCUUAAACCCCAUGAAAAGAAAUAUCCAACCCAUGAUCUUGAGUUGGCAGCUGUUGUCUUUACCUUAAAGAUUUGGAGGCAUUACUUUUAUGGGGUUCAUGUCGAUAUGUUCAUAGAUCACAAGAGUUUACAGUAUGUAUUCACAUAGAAAGACUUGAAUCUUCAUCAAAUGAAGUGGCUUGAAUUAUUGAAAUACAAUGAUAUGAGUGUGUUAUAUCAUCAAGGAAAAGCCAAUGUAAUAGUAGAUGCCCCUAGUAGAUUGUUUAUGGGUAGUGUUGCCCAUGUUGAGGAUGAUAAAAAGGAGUUAGUCCGUGAGGUUUAUCAACUUACCAUGUUAGAAGUUCGAUUAGUAGAUUUGGCAGAAGGUAGUAUAUGGGUUCAAAAUGGUUCAAAAUCUUUAUUGGUUACUGAAGUGAAAGAAAAGCAAGAUAGGGAACCUAGUUUGGUCAAGUUGAAGGAGACGGUUAGAGAUCAAAAGGUAUAGGUUUUCUCCCAAGGGGGAGAUGGCGUGCUUCAUUGUCAGAGCAGACUAUAUGUUCUAUAUGUUGAUAGUCUAAGACAGUGAAUAUUAGGUAAGUUGGACGGUGCGCAAUAAUCUAUUCGCCUAGGAGCUACUAAAAUGUACUGUGAUUUUUGGAAAAUCUAUUGGUGGAGUGGUAUGAAUAAGAUAUUAUAGAGUUUGUCACUAAAUGUUCAAAUUUUCAACAAGUUAAUGUUGAGAACCAAAGGCCUAGUGGUACACUUCAGGAGUUUAGCAUCCCCUCUUGGAAGUGGGAGGUGGUGAACAUGGAUUUUGUGAUAGGGUUACCUCGUACGCAUCGUCAGCAUGAUUCAAUAUGGGUUGUUAUGGAUAGAAUGACCAAGUCAGCUCAUUUCUUGCUAGUUCAUACUUUGUUUUCAGCUAAGUAUUAUGCUUGACUCGAUCUUAGAAAGUUGGUGAAGUUGCAUGGGGUUUCGUUGUCUAGAAUUUUAGAGAGAGGUACUCAGUUUAUAUAAUACCCUGCAUGUUUCUAAGCAAGGAAGUAAAUAAGUAUUCCUACGCAUGAAAUCUUCUAUCCUAUGAUUCAUACUUGAGUACAUGACUUACAAUGAAUAUCCUAGUGAUAGGAUAGCUUAUGAUGCAUUAAGCAUGUUCAUAUGAGUCACUUAAGGUAAUACAAGCUAAGAGUUUUUGAAUCCAUCAAGUUUUAGUGUUCGAUUUUUCAAGGGUCAUCUUUGAAUGAGUAUAACUCGAUGUUAAUGUGUUAUUUUGGCUGAUUUAGACCCACCAAAUUGUAGAGAAUUAAAUUAGCUUUCCAACAAUACCAAUUUUGCCUUAAUCUAAUACCCGAGCGAAAAGUUAUGCCCAUUUUCGUGAGAGACAGUAAGGAUAGGCGAUUGGUUAGGCGCCUCCCAACCCAAACAUAGGCGAUUGGUUAGGCGCCGCCCAACCUAGCUUAGGCAAUCACUUGGUCACCGCCUAACUCAGUUCCAGGUGCCAAAAACACUCCAUUUUGAGUUAUUUUAAGGGUAAUUAAGUCUUUUAACACUCCUUAUACGUCCCUAAACUUAACCCUACGAAAUAUAUAGCUUCUAAACAUAUUAGAACCCUAUUAUCAUCUCAAAGCUCAUCAUCCAAGAGCACUAAAAGAGAAAAACAACUAGGGUUGCGUAACUAAGCUUGAAGAUCCGAUUUCAAGGAAAUUCCUCCNNNNNNNNNNNNNNNNNNNNNNNNNNNNNNNNNNNNNNNNNNNNNNNNNNNNNNNNNNNNNNNNNNNNNNNNNNNNNNNNNNNNNNNNNNNNNNNNNNNNNNNNNNNNNNNNNNNNNNNNNNNNNNNNNNNNNNNNNNNNNNNNNNNNNNNNNNNNNNNNNNNNNNNNNNNNNNNNNNNNNNNNNNNNNNNNNNNNNNNNNNNNNNNNNNNNNNNNNNNNNNNNNNNNNNNNNNNNNNNNNNNNNNNNNNNNNNNNNNNNNNNNNNNNNNNNNNNNNNNNNNNNNNNNNNNNNNNNNNNNNNNNNNNNNNNNNNNNNNNNNNNNNNNNNNNNNNNNNNNNNNNNNNNNNNNNNNNNNNNNNNNNNNNNNNNNNNNNNNNNNNNNNNNNNNNNNNNNNNNNNNNNNNNNNNNNNNNNNNNNNNNNNNNNNNNNNNNNNNNNNNNNNNNNNNNNNNNNNNNNNNNNNNNNNNNNNNNNNNNNNNNNNNNNNNNNNNNNNNNNNNNNNNNNNNNNNNNNNNNNNNNNNNNNNNNNNNNNNNNNNNNNCAGUUUCCUUCUAUUGAGUCCUGGGGGUACUUGUACCCAAAAACUAUAGCUAUGUGCCUAGAUCCAUGUCAUGUUUUACGAUAUCCGAACUCAAGCUAUGAUUACAUAGACUUCAGUCAGUCAUGUGACUCAGGAAAACCUCAUGAUCUUAGUCAGUUGUCAGAUAUCAGUAACAUUCCACCAGUCAAUGGAAUUCAGUAAGAUUAAGUCAUGCACAGUCAAUUAUUCAUGUCCAGUACCUCUAGAUGGGAGUAGAGGUUAGCGCUAGGUGAACCUAAGGAUGGGAACUCACCCGCCAGUUCAGGGGUGAUUCUUAGUAGUCAUCUUUGUGUUCCAGAACUACGUAGCCAGUAUAGGUUGAGACAUCUCAACCCGUCAGAUUAGGGUUGAUGAGGUGACUUAACCCGUUUGCUUAGGGUUCCCACCAUUCUCAUUGAGUACCCGCCUAAUAAGGGUCACUCACAGGCUGUCCUUACCCAUGGCACAGUAUUGACACCCAUCCAGUCGGGGCAGAGAUUGGACCCCAGAUUAGCCAUAAUGACAUACAUGGGGUAUGUCGGUUAAACACUACUUCCCUCAGUUUCAGUAUCAGUCUCAGUAAAAGAACUCAGGGCGUUCUUCAGAUUUUAGUAUAUACAGGAUUGUCAGAUACAGUCGUCCAUGUUAUCAGUUUCUAUAUCAGUCAUGACAGUUAUCAGUAAACCAUGUAUAGCUAACAGGUCAUGCUAUCACGUAUUCAUGGUCCAGUUUCUAUAUAUGUGUGUUUGCACUCCCAUGUUCAUAUUAGUCAGUCAGUGUUGUUCAUGCAUGAAACCCUGUAUGUUCAGCCUACCUUCCUCGUAUACUCAGUACUCUAGUUGUACUGACGCAUUUACGCUAUGGUGCUUUCUUUUCAUGUUACACCAUAGGUUCCGAGACCUGAGCUCUAGCCCAGCAGUAGCGGUAGCAUUCAAGUCACAGAGACACAAUGACAAUAUGAUUUGAUUCAUUUAUUUAUUUCUUCAGUUCAGUUUUACGGAGUUAGUUGGAGACAUGUUCCUUCAACUCCUUAUUCAGAUAGUUUAGAGGCUUUCAGAUUUAUGUUCAGAUUGAGUUGUUUUGGGUAUUUUCACCCACAUGAUUGUAUUCAGUUGAACCUUAUGGCCUUACAGUUCUAUGUAUUCCGCAUUAUUAUAUCAUGAUUUGUAGUAUAUAGGUACAGAUAUCAGUCAUGCGUUAGCUUGUGGUCCUCAGGGUCAUAAGCACCGUGUAGCAUUUCGGUUCAGCGAAUCGGGGUGUUAUAAACUUGGUAUCAGAGCCUAAGGUUCAAUAGAGUCCUAGGAAGUCUGAAAGCCACAUCUAGUAGAGUCUUGUACAUGGGUGUGGUGCGUGCCACAUUUAUGUGCAGGAGGCUAUAAGAUGUUUUAAGAACAGUCCCCUUUCUUCAUUAUUCAUGUCAUGCUAGUGAGCAUAAUCACAAGUUAAACUCUUAGUCUAAUCCAUUCUUCUCUUAUUCCAGACUAUGGCCCCAAAGAGAAGAAAUCAGCCAGCUCCUCAGCCCGAAGAUCCUUUGGGCAAACAUGUUUCCCAUACGGAGUUUAGAGCCGCAUUUACCAUACUUACUCAAUCCAUGGCUGCACAGACUAAACGGCCACCUGUCAUUCCAGCCAAUCCAUUGGCCAAUCCCAAAGCAGCUAGGGUUUGGGACUUCACCUGAAUGAACCCUCUAUCUUUCCAUGGGUCUAAGUCUGAUGAGGACCCUCAGGAGUUCAUUGACCAAGUCGAAAAGGUCAAUGACAUCAUAGGUGUUACUUCUAUUGAAAGUGCUGAGUUAGCCGCCUACCAGUUACAGGAUAUUGCUCAUGAUUGGUACAAAUAGUGGAAGUCUAUGAGGUUAGAUGAUACAGGCCCUAUCGAGUGGAAGGAAUUUAUCACAGCCUUCUUAGAUAGAUUCUUUCCCCAAGAGCUAAGGGAAGCCAAAGUUCUUGAGUUCAUCAACCUCAGGCAAGGGAAUAUGACGGUUAGGGAGUAUUCUCUCAAAUUUACUCAGCUAUCCAGGUAUGCUCCUCAUGUGUUUGUAGACAAUAGAGCUAAGAUGAGCAAGUUCGUGUUAGGGGUCAAGGAUAGCAUGGUAAACGAGUGUAGGUCUGCGAUGCUGCUCGAUGAUAUGACCUUAGCUAGACUCAUGACCCAUGCCCAGAAAGUAGAAUAAUAGAAGUUUAAGACUAGGGAGAGGCAGAAUAAGAGAGCAAGGUCAGGUAAUUUCAACUUUGCUCACCCCAAGUCAGAUAGAGGAAACCGUUCACAGUUUUGCACCAAGUCAGCCGUUGCAGCUUCUUCCUCUGCCAGCGCUCCAGUGCUGAAGUUUAGAGACGACACUAGAGACAAAGUCCCAGGCUCUAAAUCUCAGGGCAGUGUUAGCAGUGCCCGAAUAAAUCCCCUUUGUCAGACUUGUGGUACGAACCACAAGGGCAUUUGCAAAGCCGGUAGUGAUGUCUAUUUUGGUUGUAGUAAGCCAGGCCACAGGAUUAGGGAGUGUCUACAGUCAAGCUUUCAGGGUUAGAAAAAUCAUUCUAUAGCUCAGUCCAGUCGCCCGAACCAGCAGGGUGCCAUUUCCUGCGCUACCAGUGGGCAACGCCCAAAUAGACUCUAUGCUGUUCAGUCCAGGCAGGAUUAGAAAAAUUCUCCUGAUGUCGUUACUGGUACGUUACAGAUUUUCCAUGUUCAUGUUUAUGCUUUACUAGACCUAGGUGCAUCUUUAUCUUUUGUUACUCUAUACAUAGCAGGCAAUUUCAGAAUGAGUCCUAAAGUCCUAGCAGAGCCCUUCUCAGUCUCUACCCCAGUGGGUAAAACUAUCAUAGCCCAGUGGGUAUACAGGAACUACCCGGUUAUGAUAUCUCAAAAAUCCACAUCAGCAGAUUUAGUGGAGUUAGAGAUGACUGAUUUUGAUAUCAUUCUCAUCAUGGAUUGGCUUCAUUCCUGUUAUGCCACAAUCGAAUGCAAAAAUAGGAUAGUUCAGUUUCAGUUCUCGGAUGAGCCCUUCCUAGAGUGGAAAGGUAGCAUUUCAGCAUUCAGGGGUCAAUUUGUUUCCUACCUUAGGGAAAGGAAAAUGAUUUCUAAGGGGUGUGUGUAUCAUCUCAUGCAUGUUAAAGAUUCUAGUUCUGAAUAUCCCAUUCUCGAAACAGUCCCUGUUGUUAAUGAAUACUCAGAUGUUUUUCCCGAAGAUCUUCUAGGCAUUUCUCCUGAAAGGGAAAUAGACUUCGGCAUAGACCUUCUUCUGGAUACUUAACCUAUUUCUAUUCUUCCAUACAGAAUGGCACCAGCAGAACUCAAGGAACUGAAAGAUUAGUUGAAGGAUCUCUUAGAAGGGAUUCAUCAGACCUAGCAUUUCCCUAUGGGGUAUGCCAGUAUUAUUUGUGUGCAAGAAAGAUGGUUCUCUCAGGAUGUGUAUUGAUUACCGUCAACUCAAUAAGGUCACAGUCAAGAAUAGAUAUCCUCUUCCCAGGAUUGAUGAUCUAUUUGACCAACUUCAGGGUGCCAGUUACUUCUUCAGAUAGACCUUAGAUCAGGCUAUCAUCAGCUCAGAGUUAGAGAAUGUGACAUUUCAAAGAUAGCUUUUCGUACUCGGUAUGGUCACUUCAAAUUUCUAGUCAUGUCAUUUGGUCUUACCAAUGCCUCUGCAGCUUUUAUGGAUUUGAUGAACUGUGUGUUCAAGCAGUACUUGGACAUGUUUGUCAUUGUCUUCAUAGAUGAUAUUUUGGUUUAUUCUCGCACAGAGCAUGAUCAUACAGACCAUCUCAGGAUUAUUCUUCAGACUCAUAGGGAUCACCAAUUAUUCGCUAAGUUCAGCAAGUGCAAAUUUUGGCUAAGAUUAGUAGCAUUCCUUGGCCAUAUUAUUUUUGGUGAUGGAAUUAGAGUAGAUCCUCAGAAAAUUGAGGCAGUAAGAAACUGGCCCAGACCCGUAUCUCUAUCAGCUAUUAGAAGUUUCUUGGGUUUGGAUGUCUAUUACAGAUGGUUUGUCGAGGUAUUUUCUUCUAUUGCAUCUCCCAUGUCCAGAUUGACUCAGAAGAAGAUUAAGUUUCAGUGGUCAGAUUCAUGUGAGAAGAGCUUUCAAGAGUUGAAGACUCGACUCACCUUUGCUCCUGUUCUAACUAUUCCAGAUGGUUCAGAUGGUUUUGUAGUCUAUUAUGAUAUAGCCAGAGUGGGUUUAGGUUGUGUCCUCAUGCAGCAUGGUAAGGUCAUAGCCCAUGCCUCCAGACAGUUAAAGCCACAUGAGAAGAAUUAUCCUACUCAUGAUUUUGAGUUAACAAUGGUAGUUUUUGCCUUGAAUAUUUGGAGGCAUUAUCUCGAUGGAGUUCAUGUAGAUGUCUUCACAGACCAUAAAAGCCUCCAGUAUGUCUUUUACCAAAAAGAUCUCAAUCUUUUCCAGAGAAGGUGGUUAGAGCUCUUGAAGGAUUAUGACAUGAGUGUUCUUUAUCAUCCGGGAAAGGCCAAUAUUGUGGCCGACUCUCGAUGGGUACUAUUUCUCACGUUGAGGAUAGUAAGAAAAAGAUGGCUUAGGAGAUCCAUCAGCUUGCCAGACUAGGGGUUCACUUAGUCGAUUCUUCUGAGGGUGGUGUAUGUGUUCAUAGUAGUUCAGAGUCAUCUCUAGUUUCCUAAGUGAAAUAGAAACAAGACAGGGAUCCUAGUCUUUUCAAGCUCAAAGAGUCAGUUUAGAAUCAGAAAGUCGAGGUUUUCUCCCAAGGGGGAGAUGGUGUUCUUCGUUGUCAGGGUCGUCUAUGUGUUCCAGGUGUAGAUGAAUUGAGGCAAUGAAUACUUGUAGAAGCGCAUGGUUCGUGAUACUCUAUUCAUCCAGGGGCCACUAAGAUGUACUGUGACAUGGGGGAGAUCUAUUGGUGGAGUGGGAUGAAGAGAGAUGUUGCAGAGUUUUUGGCUACGUGCUCUACAUGUCAGCAAGUUAAGAUAGAGCAUCAGAAACCUAGUGGUUCCAUGCAAAAGUUCACCAUUCCUACUUGGAAGUGGGAAGAAGUUAAAAUGGACUUCGUGAUGGGUUUACCUAGAACUCGUCAUUAGCAUGAUUCAGUUUAGGUCAUUAUAGAUAGAAUGACCAAGUUAGCUCAUUUCCUUCCUGUUCGUACUUCUUAUUCCGCCGAGGAUUAUGCCAAACUCUAUAUCAGGGAGUUAGUAAGGUUAUAAGGUGUUCCACUAUCUAUCAUCUCAGACAGAGGUACCCAGUUCACUUCUCACUUUUGGAAAGCAUUCCAAAAGGGUCUCGGUACCCAAGUCUAUCUCAUCAUAGCAUUUCAUCCUCAGAUAGAUGGUCAAGUAGAGAGGACUAUUCAGACUCUUAAAGAUAUGCUAAGGGCGUGUGUAAUUGACUUCAAGGGAAGUUGGGAUGACCACUUGCCUUUGAUUGAGUUUGCAUACAACAAUAGUUAUCAUUCUAGUAUUUAGAUGGCUCCAUUUGAAGCUCUAUAUGGUAGGAGAUGUAGAUCACCGAUUGGUUGGUUUGAAGUUAGUGAGGCCUCAAUCAUAGGUCCUGACUUAGUAUUCGACACCUUAGAGAAAGUUCAGUUGAUCAGAGAGAGACUCCGGGCUUUUCAAAGCCGACAGAAGUCCUAUGCAGAUGUUCGUAGAAAGGAUCCUGAGUUUGAGGUCAAUCACUAUGUCUAUCUUAAGAUCUCUCCCAUGAAGGGAGUAAAAAGGUUCAACAUGAAAGGAAAACUCAGUCCCCGGUAUGUCGGUCCCUUCAGAAUUCUUUGUCGCUUCGACAAGGUAGCUUAUGAGCUUGAGUUGCCUUCAGAUCUAGCCUCAGUCCAUCCAAUCUUUAAUGUAUCUUUGCUAAAGAAAUGCAUAGGUGACCCAACAGUUUUUAUCUCUAUUCAGAGCAGCGAUAUUCAAAACAGCCUCUCUUAUGAAGAGAUUCCAGUCGAAAUCUUAGAUUAUUAGACUCGUAGAUUGAGGAACAAAAAAGUCCCUCUAGUCAAGGUUCUAUGGCGAAAUCAGUCUCAUGAGGGAGCUACUUGGGAAGCAGAAGCAGAUAUGCGUACCAAGUAUCCUCACCUCUUUCCCGCCAAUUCAGAUCAAGCUCAAGGUAACAGUUUUCCUUAAUCUUAUUCAGUUUCACAUUUAUAUUUCCAGUAUAAACUUGGUACCUAUUAAUCGUUUCAUACUCAGUCAUGCAUUUAUGUGUCAGUUGUCCAUGCAUCAGAUAUGCAUGAGUUCAGUAUGUUUAGCAUGUCAGUGAUGAGAUCAAGUUUCAAUUCUUCAUGUUCAGUUUAGGUUCUAUUGUCUUGUAUCCCUUCUCAGUAAAUUCUCAUUCAAGGAUGAAUGUUCCUAAGGGGGAGAUGUUGUAAUACCCCACAUGUUUCUAAGCAAGGAAGUGAAUAAGUAUUCCUACUUAUGAAAUCUCCUAUCCCAAGAUGAAAUCUUUAUAUGUUUUUUUUUUGAAUUUCAUGAUAUCACAUGAGUUGGAAACAUGUAGAUUUGGUUGUUCAUGAUGUAUAAUUUGAUGAUUUCACCUAUUCUUAAGAUGUGAAUGUAAGGUGUUUGAUAAAAUGCCUAAGAAACUAGAAAUCAUGCAAUAUAGCUAAAUUGUGACUAAGUGAAGGAUUUAUGAUAUGUCCUUACGUUCCAAUGACUUCUAUGUUGAUAAUGUGCCUUGUAAAUGUUGUUGGAAUACUCAUGAACUAUUCUUAUGAGAUUAUGCUAUGUUUACUUGCAAAUCCUACUUAUGAACAAGAUGUAUGAUAACCAUGCAAUCCACAUGAACNNNNNNNNNNNNNNNNNNNNNNNNNNNNNNNNNNNNNNNNNNNNNNNNNNNNNNNNNNNNNNNNNNNNNNNNNNNNNNNNNNNNNNNNNNNNNNNNNNNNNNNNNNNNNNNNNNNNNNNNNAAUCCAUAUGAACUUCCAUGCUAUUGGUAUGUGUUACCAAUAUGAUUAUGCAAUGAACAUGAUAUUAAGAUUGUGCAAGUACUUCCAUGUGAUAUGAAAUCCUUUCCAUGCAAUACAUUGUUGAGAACCAUGCUUAGUAUAAGAUCCCUACUUAUGAUAUUAUAAAUUAUGGACUCUACUCUUAUGAUCAAGUCAGUCAUGUGUGCCAGUUUCCUUCUAUCGAGUCCUGGGGUACUUGUACCCAAAAACUAUAUCUAUGUGCCUAGAUCCAUGUCAUGUUUCACGAUAUCCGAACUCAAGCUAUGAUUACAUAGACUUCAGUCAGUCAUGUGACUCAGGAAAACCUCAUGAUCUUAGUCCAUUGUCAGAUAUCAGUAACAUUUCACCAGUCAAUGGAAUUCAGUAAGAUUAAGUCAUGCACAAUCAAUUAUUCAUGUCCAGUACCUCUAGAUGGGAGUAGAGAUUAGCGCCGAUUGAACCCAAGGAUGGGAACUCACCCGCCAGUUCAGGGUGUGAUUCUUAGUAGUCAUCCUUGUGUUUCAGAACUACGUAGCCAGCGUAGGUUGAGACAUCUUAACCCAUUAGAUUAGGGUUGAUGAGGUGGCUUAACCCGUCAGUUUAGGGUUCCCACUGUUCUCACUGAGUACUCGCCAGAUAAGGGUCACUCAUAGGCUGUCCUUACUUGUGGAACGGUAUUGACACCCCUUCAGUCGGGGCAGAGAUUGGACCCCAGCUUAGCCAUAACGGCAUACAUAGGGCAUAUCGGUUAAACACUACUUCCCUCAGUUUCAGUAUCAGUCUCAGUAAAAGAACUCAGGGCGUUCUUCAGAUUUCAGUAUAUACAGGAUUGUCAGAUACAGUCAUCCAUGUUAUCAGUUUCAGUAUUAGUCAUGAUAGUUAUCAGUAAACUAUGUAUUAGCUAACAGGUCAUGCUAUCACGUAUUCACUGUCCCAGUUUCUAUAUAUGUGUGUUUGCACUCCCACGUUCAUAUUAGUCAGUCAGUGUUGUUCAUGCAUGAAACCCUUUAUGUUCAGCCUACGUUCCUCGUAUACUUAGUACUCUAGUUGUACUGGCGCAUUUGCGCUACGGUGAUUUCUUUUCAUGUUUCACCAUAGGUUCCGAGACACGAGUUCCAGCCCAGCUGUAGCGAAAUCAUUUCAGUCGCAGAGACACGGUGAGUCCUCAUUGAUUUGAGGACAAUAUGAUUUGAUUCAUUUAUUUAUUUCUUCAAUUCAUUUUUACGAAGUUAGUUAGAGACAUGUUCCUUCAACUCCUUAUUUAGAUAGUUUAGAGGCUUUCAGAUUUAUGUUCAGAUUUACAUUCAGAUUGAGUUAUUUUGGGUAUUUUCACCCACAUGAUUGUAUUCAUUUGAACCUUGUGGCCUUACAGUUCUAUGUAUUACACAUUAUUAUAUCAUGAUUUGCAGUAUACAGGUACAGAUAUCAGUCAUGGGUUAUCUUGUGGUCCCUAAGGAUCAUAACCACCGUGUAGCAUUCCGGUUCAGCGAAUCGGGGUGUUACAGUUUACCUCUCACUUUUGGAAAAGCAUUUUAGAAGGGCCUUGGUACCCAAGUUCACCUUAGUACAACUUUUCAUCCUCAGAUAGAUGGUCAGGAAGAAUGGGCCAUUCAGACUUUACAGGACAUGUUGAGGGCAUGUGUUAUUGAUUUUAUGGGUAGUUGGGAUGACCACUUACCUUUGAUUUAGUUUUUCUAUAACAAUAGCUAUUACUCCAAUAUUUAGAUGGCUUCAUUUGAGGCUCUCUAUCGAAGGAGAUGAAAAUCUCCUAUUAGUUGGUUUGAAGAAGGUGAGGCUACUUUGAUAGGGCCAGAUUCAAUGUUUGAGGCGAUAGAGAAAGUUUAGUUAAUUCAAGAGAGGCUGAAGACACCCCAAAGUUGUCAGAAAUCUUAUGUAGAUGUGAGGAGAAGAGAUCUUGAGUUUGAUGUUGGUGACUUGGUUUAUUUGAAGAUUUCACCUAGCAAAAGAGUGAAGAGAUUUGGCAAUAAAGGGAAACUCAUCCCCCGCUAUGUUGGCCUAUAGAGAAUCUUAAGCUAUUUUGGGAAGGUAGAUUAUGAUUUAGAGUUGCCUGCAUAUUUGUCAUCAGUGCAUCCAGUGUUUCAUGUCUUUUUAUUAAAGAAAUGUAUUGGAGACCCAAUUUCAGUUAUGCCCUUAGAGAGUGUGGAGGUUAAAGAUAAUCUCUCAUAUGAAGAAAUCCCAGUUGAGAUCCUUGACUACCUGACUCAUAGGUUAAGGAACAAAGAGGUUCCCUUGGUGAAAGUUCUAUGAUGAAAUCAGUUUGUUGAGGGAGCUAUUUGGGAAGCAGAAGUAAAUAUGUGUGCCAAGUAUCGUCAUCUAUUCCCCCCAAAUUCAUACUCAGCUUGAGUUAAUGAAUUUCCUUAAAUUGACUCUUUCCGUUCUCUAUUUUAGCUAUGUAACUAUUCUCAUGUCAAUGCAUGUGUUCAUGAAACCAGUUCAGUCCAUGUAUUAUAUCUCAAACUCAGUUUUUUAAUAACGUUUCAGUUCAUGAACAUUCAGUGUAUUGUCUCAAAUUACCUUAGUACUAUCAACCUAACCAGUCUAAAUCGAGGAAGAAUGUUCCCAAGGUAGAUAUAUUGUAAUACCCUAUGUUUUAAAGUCAUUGUACAACAUACAACUCAUGCCUUUGAGUCGUAUGGACAUCAUACGAGUCGUAUGUUCAACUUGUACCCAUGAUAGUAUGUGAUGGGUGAUAUUCUAUUUAAGGUACAACUUAAACCUUGGAAGUCGUAAGGUGAUCAUACGAGUCAUACAAGGUAAGUCGUAACUAAGUCAGUGUGAGGUAAGAUGAGAUCUGUCCAGCUUAAGAGAGGAUGAGUGCUAGUUUUAUGACUUGUUACGAGUCAUAAGUUAUCACUCGUAUCCUAAUCAGUGAAGGAUCCAAAAAUCAAGACUCAUUUUUUGAUAUCUUUAUAAGUUAAUUAAACGUAUAUUAAGUUCUCAAAUAGUUCCUAGCUGAUGAACAAAUAGAAACAUUCAUUAGCAAUUUAAGCUAUUAUGAAGAAUAUAACUAUAGUCAUAUUCAAACGAGCACGAGUUCUAUUCUACAAAUAAUAUCUGAUCUCAAUACCCACCAAUAUAUAUAUAAUUGAAUUAUCUUUCAAACAAUACCAAUUUUGCCUUAAUCUGAUAUCAGGGUGAAAAGUUAUGGCCAAAUUACUGAAGCACUGUCAAAGCUGCCAGUAGGGUACGACUCCUGAUGAUGACCCAUACCCUGAACAUACGAGUCAUCAGGAGGAGUCAUACCCACAGUAGUAGGGGUUGAAAUUUGGAUUCCUGGUGAUGACUCAAGGUACGACCCGUACCCAGAACAUGCGAGUCAUACCCAAACACGUCGGGAAGACUUCCAAAUGAUUUCCAGAAGGUUUCCUAGGGUUUUUUUUGGUCUUUUCUCCCUUAUAAAUCCCAAUCCACAUCAUUUAAAUCCAAGGGGCAUUACUUUUCCUCUCUUUUCCAUCAAUUAAACAACACAAAAUCCCUAUUUUCAUUCUCAAAAAUAAGAUUAGGGUUCCUUCUCAAGAUCAUCUCCCAAAUCUCAAAGGUCAAGUUUACUUCACCAAUCCAAAAACUUUAAGGUAUGUGGGGUAUUCAUCAAUGGGUUCCUUCCACUCAUUGAGACUAAAAAACCACUUGUUGUUUUAAAAGUAAGAAUUUUAUUCUAUUUUAUGGAGUUAUCCUUACAAUUUAUGAAUCAAAUUCAUGAACUUCAAAAUAAAUCAAAUUUAAGUCAUGUCAAUAUGUGUUCCCAUGUUAUUCAAGUCACUUCAUGUUUGAAUUUCAAUUUUCCUUGUUUUAAUACCUUAAUUUCACGAUACAUCCUCAAGUUAUGAAUUAAACCAUGUAAAUAUGAUGUUUUUCCCAUGUUUAACAUAUCCUCAUGUUCAAAUUCAUGUAUUCUAAUAGUUAUUAAAGUUUACUGUCUUUUGGGUCUCUGAAUUUUGAUUUCCUCCUAUUGUUUAAAUAUUGUUAUUGUAUUUUUGUAAUCAUUCAGUGCUGGUGGGUUUUGAAAACCCGAUACCUAUGUGUUUUACAUAAUUUUUGUUUCCAAGAAAUUAGCUAGACCAUGAUUUUAUUACAAUAUUCCGAAUAUCAUAUUCAUGCUGAGACUUUACAGAACCGUACCCAGUCAUAUUAAGAAACUAAUAACCCUAAGGUCCUUCAGUUGGGAGUAAUAGUUAGCAUCGAGUGAACAUAAGGAUGAUGACUUCCCCAUUAGUAGAGGCACGAGUCAUUAGCAGCAGUCCCUAAGUUCCAUACCUACUGCGCCACCGUAGAUUAUGAGGGGUCCCCCUUCAGUAGAGGAAUGACACCCUCUUCAUUUGGGAUAUCAUCCUUGUGGAUCCAUAUCCUCAUUCAUGUAAUGGUACCCCUGGAAAGGUACACCAGCACCCUUACAACUAGGGUUACUGGUUGGAUCCCGACAACUCAGUUUGGGGCAUGUCGGUUGUAGUUAGCUCCCACAGACUCAGUGUAGUAUUUGGAAUAGAUUAGCUCAAGCUUGCAUGACCAAGUAUACAGACUUAAGUUAUUUAGUUAUGUCACAAUAGUCAUUCAGUCACUCAGAUUUACAACUUAUUUUAGUACAUUUUUAUGCUUUGUCUUUCAUUCUUAGUGUUACAUGUUCAUGCAUUCAUGUUCAAUUGCCAUAUGUUUUUUAGUUAGUCCUUACCUCAUGUACUAGUACAUUUAAAGUACUGACCGUAUACUCUUCUCUUUAUUAAUAUUGUCUUAUAACAUUGGUUUGGACGCUCAGUUUCCUAACCUUUCUUAGACAGUCCAACAUCACCCGACAGCAGUAGUGAUGAGUCCUCUUCCAUCUAGGACAUAAUAUGUUUUACCGUUAUUUCAUCAUCUAUUUAGGUUUCGUCAGUCGGAGUUAGUUGGGGGUCUAUCCUAUCAACUCCUUACUAUUCUUAGAGGCUUUCAGACAGUUAGAUAAUCUUUUAGCUGCCAGUUAUUAUCAGUUGUUUUAAUCAGACAAUCUAGUUUUUUGUGUUUAUCAAAUACUCUAGACGUGUCGUUUUAUGUAUUUCAGUAUUUCUAAUUGACAGUACCUUAUCAUUUUAUCUUUUGCACAUGUUAUAUUACUAUCAUAUUAUUCAGUGCUUACAGUAGGUACCACAUUAUGGGUUGGCUUGGGUCGCAUACAGCCUUAAGCACCACAUCACGACUAGAGGGUAACCUCAGGUCAUGAUAACCAUUGUCUUUGUUGCUAUGAAUUCAGCCUUCAUAGUGGAUGAUGGAACAAUUUCCUACUUCUUAGAUGACCAUGAAAAGAUUCCUAAAGCUAAGCUGAAAUAAUGUCCAAAAGUACUUCUCAUAUCAUCAGCGGAUUCAGCCCAAUCACUAUUUGAGAACCCAAACAACUUGAAGCUUUGAGAUUUCACAAACUUUACACCAUAGUCAACAGUUCCUUUGAUAUAUCUUAAUAUUUUUUUUGCUUCUCUUAAAUGCAUCUCACUUGCAUAAUGCAUAAAAUGAGAUAAGAGACUUAUAAAAAAUAAGAUAUCUGGCUUUGUCGUAGUGAGAUAUAUUAAGCAUCCACUCAAGCUUCUGUUAUACACUUCAUUAACUUUAUCAGCUCUAUCUUCAUUAUAAAAUUUCUCUUUUUGAUUCAUUGAUGUGCUCACCGGCUUACAGUCUUCUAUUUGAAAUUUCUUCAAAAUUUUCUUUGCAUAUUCUUUUGGUAAAUGAACACUUAACUUUUGAUUUGCUUGAUCUCCACACCCAAAAAAUAGGACAUAAUACCAAGAUCUGUAUUUCAAAAACUUGUAUCGUCUCUUAUUUAAAUUCCUCAACCAGCUUUAAAUUAUUUCCUAUUACCAGAAGAUCAUCAACAUAAAGAGAUAAAAUAUGAAUAUCAUUCCUAUUACAUAAAAAGUGGAUUCUGAUAAGUUUUUUCAAAACCCAAGCCUACCAGAUGAUCAUCUAUCCUGCUAUACCAAGCUUUUGGUGCUUGCCUUAAAUCAUAAAGAGCUUUCUUUAGCAAUAAACCUUAUUUUCUUGCCCAUUGACAAAAAAACCGUUUGGUUUCUCAACAUAAAUCUCCUUCGGGAGAAAAUCAUUGAGAAAGACCGACUUAAAAUUCAAUUGAUAAAGUUUCUAAUUUUUUUCUACUACAAUGCCUAGUAGCAAUCUGAUUGUGUCAGGGUAAUCAGCUGGCGCAAAAGUUCCUGAGUAUUCUACUCCAAAGAUCUAAGUAGCCCUUCACCACAAGCUUUGCUUUGUCUUUGUUGAUGGAACCAUCUACAUCUAACUUUUUCUUAAAACCCAUUUUACACCAAUGAUAUACCAUUUAUAGGGGGGUGCGCGGAUUAGGUAGAUUAAAUAGAUUUAGUUGUUGUCGAUGAUGUUCCUUCUAUAGGUUUAUUAGUUCUUAAUACUUUUUUGCUAUUUUCGGUUAGAUUUGCAAACCAUAGUUUUACUGAUCCUAUUAGUGUUUUUUCUAUAUAUUCCGGUGCAUCUGUUAUAUUUAUAUUAUUAUCUAAUAAUUGUUUUGUCAUAUAUCCUAUCCAUAAUUGUAUUGUUUUUUCUGUAUCUAUUACACAGUCUAGAUCUAAAAAGUUAUAAUUUUUAUUCAUUAUUUGUUUUGGUAUCCAUUUAUCA